CGGGGUGAUUUGUUGGAUGCUAGCGGCGGAUGGGUGAGUAACACGUGGGCAAUCUGCCCUAAAGACUGGGAUACCACUUGGAAACAGGUGCUAAUACCGGAUAACAACAUGAAUCGCAUGAUUCAAGUUUGAAAGGCGGCGCAAGCUGUCACUUUAGGAUGAGCCCGCGGCGCAUUAGCUAGUUGGUGGGGUAAAGGCCUACCAAGGCAAUGAUGCGUAGCCGAGUUGAGAGACUGAUCGGCCACAUUGGGACUGAGACACGGCCCAAACUCCUACGGGAGGCAGCAGUAGGGAAUCUUCCACAAUGGACGAAAGUCUGAUGGAGCAACGCCGCGUGAGUGAAGAAGGUCUUCGGAUCGUAAAGCUCUGUUGUUGGUGAAGAAGGAUAGAGGCAGUAACUGGUCUUUAUUUGACGGUAAUCAACCAGAAAGUCACGGCUAACUACGUGCCAGCAGCCGCGGUAAUACGUAGGUGGCAAGCGUUGUCCGGAUUUAUUGGGCGUAAAGCGAGCGCAGGCGGAAUGAUAAGUCUGAUGUGAAAGCCCACGGCUCAACCGUGGAACUGCAUCGGAAACUGUCAUUCUUGAGUGCAGAAGAGGAGAGUGGAACUCCAUGUGUAGCGGUGGAAUGCGUAGAUAUAUGGAAGAACACCAGUGGCGAAGGCGGCUCUCUGGUCUGCAACUGACGCUGAGGCUCGAAAGCAUGGGUAGCGAACAGGAUUAGAUACCCUGGUAGUCCAUGCCGUAAACGAUGAGCGCUAGGUGUUGGGGACUUUCCGGUCCUCAGUGCCGCAGCAAACGCAUUAAGCGCUCCGCCUGGGGAGUACGACCG
RNAcentral lists this ribosomal RNA (830 nucleotides) under Lactobacillus delbrueckii. RNAcentral's name for it is "bacterial SSU rRNA". It matches the Rfam family "Bacterial small subunit ribosomal RNA", at positions 75 to 888 of the family's 1533-position model. Lineage: Bacteria; Bacillati; Bacillota; Bacilli; Lactobacillales; Lactobacillaceae. The record is from RNAcentral.